Molecule: long non-coding RNA, 1270 nt
Filed under: Nicotiana benthamiana
Lineage: Eukaryota; Viridiplantae; Streptophyta; Magnoliopsida; Solanales; Solanaceae
Description: long non-coding RNA (NBEN_LNC026921)
Source: RNAcentral
UUCGGCUCUCAUUUUGAUACACCAACAGAAAGAGAGAAAAAGAGUAAGGUUUCACAGACAGGGUAUAAGAAAAUAGUCUGUGAGUAUAAUAGAGAGUGAGCGAUAUUGUAGUGAGGUGGAAUAUCAAAAGAGGGUUAUUUCUUUUGAGUGUUGUAGUAGUCUUUGGAGUAUUUUUGUAGGAUCUACAAAGCGUAAAAAUUCCUUACUAUAGUGAUAUCAGUUGCUCCUCUCAGGGCCGUAGUUUUUUCCCUUAUUCAUACAAAGUGUAAAAUUCCUUACUAUAGUGAUAUCAGUUGCUCCUCUCAAGGCCGUAGUUUUUUCCCUUAUUCAGAAGGGAUUUCCACAUAAAAAUCUUGGUGUUGUUGUUACUCUUUUAUUCUUGUUAAUUACCGUAUCUCGGUGCUACAUUAUUAUUCCGUUUUUAUUAUCGUGAAUAUUAUUUUGAUAGGAGUUUAUUUCCAACAGUUCAAACUUGGAAUAUUUAUCGCCAGAUAAUUAAUGUUGUGCUUCUCUGUGUGAAGAAAUUUAUUUUUUCAUUAACUUGGUUUAGGUUGGAACAUUUUACUAGUUCAUUGAUCUUAGUCCAUGCCUCCAUGGGUCCCAAGAAGUCAUGGACUUUUGAAACAUAUUUAAUGCUUUUUGGCUUUUUGGACUAAUAAGGGUGGAAUUGAAAGAAGAAGAAAAAAUGUGUUCUUGAUUCCUAUAUUGAGGAGUAUUUUUGGACCAAAACUUUUGUGAUAAAUAAUAAAAAGAUUCGAAGGAAGUAUGCAAGACCUGCACCUUGAAAAAAUAUUAAAAGAAACAAAAAGGGAGUUUAUAGUGCGAGCAAGUUAUUCGAAAAUCAUAUUUUCCCCCAUAUGACAUAAUAUCGGUAAUAUAUGAUUCUAUAAGAGUUUGUCGGAAACAAUCUCAAUAUCUCACCUAAGGUGCUUGCAUAUAGCCCACCAUCCAAGAUCUCACUUGUAGAAUUAUACUGAAUAUAUUAUUAUUGUACGUUGUUGUUGUUAUUGUUGUGGCCUGUGGGAUCGUACAGAAAAAUUAUGGAUUAUUUUGUUUAUUAUAUAGUUGCCGGAUUUAAUGGAAUGAAAUGAGAUGCAAUAACUUGAUUGAUUGCUUUAUUUAUUUUGCCAACAGAAAAUACCAAAUUUUAUUAUUCGAAAACCAUAUUCUCUUUUCUGGUUAUGGAGUCAUUUCGGUAGUACAGGAUCCUACAGGAAAACCAUGGACUAUAUUUUUUUAUUAGUUGCUGGUUUCACUGGAAUGAAAUGAG